UAGCACCUCACCAUGGGGGAGGACGUAUUCAUAUGCCUUCACCAGUACCUGCAUUAAACAUGCAGAGAGUUACACAAGGAACGGCAGUCCCCCCUCGACUCCCUCAACAUGUGGCAGACAGAGGAGCCUGGAUCCCGCCUGGCCUACAGGCCAACAUGGCGUGGGGGAAGAAUGGCCGACAACAUUUCCUGCUCUGCGGCUGAGGUCCAGAUCCUUAGCCUGGUGGAAACUAUUAAACACACCCAAGACCAGCUGAUGGGGAAGGUCAACUUCUUAACCAGCAGGUUGACCAGUACCCCGGGGCCAGAAGUGGAAAUGCC
Nerophis ophidion (straightnose pipefish) is the source of this 320-nucleotide long non-coding RNA. RefSeq lists it as uncharacterized. The record is from RefSeq and is a predicted model, not a curated record. NCBI's taxonomy places the organism in Eukaryota, Metazoa, Chordata, Actinopteri, Syngnathiformes, Syngnathidae. The transcript is spliced from 3 exons.